AGCAGCACAAAGGAAAGAGGUUUGGAGUCAGUAGAGUUUGAGGUGAAGGUGCCUCUCGUGCGAAGCGGCGGUGGGAGUGGGAGUUGUUUGGAUGCAGAUUCCAUCUGCAUUACGAGCACUGAACCAAACACCAAACAUCUCAGAUCCUGAGAAAUCUGAGGCUCAUCUUAUGCAGCGCCGCGGCUCGUCUCCUGGAAGGAAAGUGGGAAGCGUCGGUGCGCUCUGACGACGUUUAUGGGAGGAGGCGCUUCUGGUGGCCGCGGCCGCAGGAUGACGACCAAUCAUGUUGAGCGCUCGAGCGGCUGGACCCCUCAGGUGGAGGGGGGGGGGGGGUGCCAGCCUCAGAGCUCCUCCAAUCAAUCACAGGCCUGGGAGCAGAGAGGACAGACGAAACCUGAUCGCGUCAAGAAAAGUUGUAUUUUUUUGACAAAUAAACUACAGAGUUGAUUCCGAUGUGAGACAGAAAAUGGAA
Molecule: long non-coding RNA, 472 nt
Organism: Austrofundulus limnaeus
Lineage: Eukaryota; Metazoa; Chordata; Actinopteri; Cyprinodontiformes; Rivulidae
Exons: 2
Source: RefSeq, a predicted model, not a curated record